This is a long non-coding RNA of Limulus polyphemus (Atlantic horseshoe crab), 558 nucleotides long. RefSeq lists it as uncharacterized. The transcript is spliced from 3 exons. Lineage: Eukaryota; Metazoa; Arthropoda; Merostomata; Xiphosura; Limulidae. The record is from RefSeq and is a predicted model, not a curated record.
CAUGCUCGUAGUCUGCUAUCGGCGUUUUGAGCUUUACGUAUUUUCUCCCCUUCAAGCUGUAACGCUUCAGAUAAACACGCACUAAUGAUCUUAGGGAUAAAGAUAAAAAAGUCCAUCUGUCCCAGAAUAGUUCCUUCUCCCCUUGUUGAAGUUAAAACAAUGACUCCGUGAGAUACAUCAGUAGGGAUCUCUUAAAAAUAUUAAGAGCUUACUGUCAGUGAAGAGGCCGUGCAAGCUGCGAUCAAACCGUACUCAUAUUUUACAUCUCGUUCUGUAGGAAUUCGGUACAUAAUUUUCAAGACCGUUUACAAGUUCUAACGAGAUAUUCCACUUGACAACGGAGGGAGUGAUGGUAAAAAAGAAGGGAUAUAAGAAACUACUUCAUGGCAAAAUGAAAAUAUAGAAACAGUCUGGAUCAUAAGGCCAAAACGUACAAACAUCACAAUUAUUUAAUCUAGAACAACAAGAAAUGCUGGUUUUGUAAACUAGUACAUUGGCCUGAUGAAAGAAGGCUGUUGCAGCAUAAUCUUUGCCCGAUUUUACACGUCUCAGAGCGUA